AUUGAACGCUGGCGGCAGGCCUAACACAUGCAAGUCGAGCGGAGCGGCGGACGGGUGAUUAAUGCCUAGGAAUCUGCCUGGUAGUGGGGGAUAACGUCCGGAAACGGGCGCUAAUACAGCAUACUAUCAGAUGAGCCUAGGUCGGAUGAGCUAGUUGGUGGGGUAAAGGCCUACCAAGGCGACGAUCCGUAACUGGUCUGAGAGGAGGAUAAGUCACACUGGAACUGAGAAACGGUCCAGAAGCAUACGGGAGGAAGCAGUGGGGAAGAUUGGACAAUGGGCGAAAGCAUGAGCCAGCCAUGCGGCGUGGGUGAAGAAGGUCGUCGGAUGGUAAAGCACAUUAAGUUGGGAGGCGUUACCAACAGAAUAAGCACCGGCUAACUUCGUGCCAGCAGCCGCGGUAAUAC
This 407-nucleotide ribosomal RNA is filed under the name uncultured bacterium. RNAcentral's name for it is "partial 16S ribosomal RNA". It matches the Rfam family "Bacterial small subunit ribosomal RNA", at positions 29 to 526 of the family's 1533-position model. The record is from RNAcentral.